ACGGAAGGCAGCAGUGAGGAAUAUUGGGCAAUGGGCGAAAGCCUGACCCAGCAACGCCGCGUGAAGGAAGAAGAUUUUCGGAUUGUAAACUUCUUUUAUGUGGGACGAAGGAAGUGACGGUACCACAUGAAUAAGCCCCGGCUAACUACGUGCCAGCAGCCGCGGUAAUACGUAGGUGGCAAGCGUUAUCCGGAAUUACUGGGUGUAAAGGGAGCGCAGGCGGGAUAGCAAGUCAGCGGUGAAAUGUAUGGGCUUAACCCAUGAACUGCCGUUGAAACUGUUAUUCUUGAGUGGAGUAGAGGCAGGCGGAAUUCCGAGUGUAGCGGUGAAAUGCGUAGAUAUUCGGAGGAACACCAGUGGCGAAGGCGGCCUGCUGGGCUCUAACUGACGCUGAGGCUCGAAAGUGUGGGGAGCAAACAGGAUUAGAUACCCUGGUA
This 437-nucleotide ribosomal RNA is filed under the name uncultured Clostridium sp. RNAcentral's name for it is "partial 16S ribosomal RNA". It matches the Rfam family "Bacterial small subunit ribosomal RNA", at positions 341 to 792 of the family's 1533-position model. Lineage: Bacteria; Bacillati; Bacillota; Clostridia; Eubacteriales; Clostridiaceae. The record is from RNAcentral.